This 463-nucleotide ribosomal RNA is filed under the name uncultured bacterium. Its description in RNAcentral is "bacterial SSU rRNA". It matches the Rfam family "Bacterial small subunit ribosomal RNA", at positions 55 to 518 of the family's 1533-position model. The record is from RNAcentral.
AUGCAAGUCGAACGGAAAUCAGGCGCUUCGGAGACUUCGGUCAAUGUUGCCUGGUUUAGUGCGGACGGGUGAGUAACGCGUGGAUAACCUGCCUCAUACAGGGGGAUAACAGUUAGAAAUGACUGCUAAUACCGCAUAAGCGCACGGGACCGCAUGAUCCUGUGUGAAAAAACUCCGGUGGUAUGAGAUGGAUCCGCGUCUGAUUAGCUAGUUGCGGGGUAACAGCCCACCAAGGCGACGAUCAGUAGCCGGCCUGAGAGGGUGAACGGCCACAUUGGGACUGAGACACGGCCCAAACUCCUACGGGAGGCAGCAGUGGGGGAUAUUGCACAAUGGGGGAAACCCUGAUGCAGCCGACGCCGCGUGAGUGAAGAAGUAUUUCGGUAUGUAAAGCUCUAUCAGCAGGGAAGAUAAUGACGGUACCUGACUAAGAAGCACCGGCUAAAUACGUGCCAGCCGCGGC